CUGACUGUCCAGAGAGAGUAAGGGAGGCAGAAAUAAUUAGGGUUAGAUCUAAGAAGAGACUUAAGCAUGAGGAAGUAGGUAAGAAAUGUUAUGAUGUGAGACAAGAAGCUAUGGAGGACAAAUCAGUCAGAAGACAUGCUGAGUUUUGCUGUUUUAAGGAUCAGGUGAAGUUUUUGGCCUUUUUGGCAAUGGUAAUUAACUGUAAUGCUGGAGAAGAAAGAAAAUCUGAGAAAACUGACAUAAUUGUAGAUGCAGCAAGGAGAUUUCUGAGUGUUGUGGAAGUUUCUGAAAAAGGUGUGUAGCAUCUGUUGAGAGAAGCUUUUAGGCUCUCUCAAACACCUGAAAAAUAGAGGUUAUAGCAAAGUGGGAAUGAGCUGCCUGAGUGAAAUAGAGAGGAUUUGAGGACGUAUAUAGGUUGAAGUGUGUGAAUAUUUUUUUUUCUUUCCAAGUAUCCAUGAGGAUGUUUGUUUGCACUCAGCUCAAGCUCUCAACCUGCUGAUUUUAAAAGGACAGCGGUGAGCGGGAGGAAGGCGACUGGCGCCAUCUUGGCUGUUUUAAUGAGUACAACAGGGCAGAAUUCACUGGGAAAAAUGACAUAAUCAUCAGGAUUUCACUCUAAAAAGGGGGAACUGUCGUAACGUUGGCCAUCAGUCCUGAGCAGCAGGAAAGGACAUCACCAGCUGAUCAGUUUUUUGGAGCCAGAAGUGAUGAGAAGAAGAGAGAAGUGAACAUAUUUGGACAAGAGCGUAUAGUUGGGGAGGAGCUCACCAGGGUCCAACAGGGUGACGAUCACUCCUGCUGAUGAGUCCAGUCUCUCCCCAUCGUCCCAGGUCUCACUGUGCAAGUCAUCAGGAGAACCUGAACCUGAGAUCCUGUGUACGACCAAAUGGAUGCUGAUGAUGGAGACCUGACUUCACCACCACCUUGGCUAUCCUCUUCACAUUUUACUGUAUAUUCACAGUUGAAUAUCAGGAGGAAACAACAACAUCACUGGAGUCUGUUCAAAAGCUUCGCUAUUACACAGACAGUUAUGAUCCAGCGGAUCCAAAGCCUUUUGGCCCAGCGGACUUGUGUUGCAAAGUGGACUGAGAUGGGCUUUUGGAGUCUUUACAGACAAGUACGCAUUAUCAAACACCAUUUUGAAGACUCUAAGGACACCUGACUACCUGCUGACUUGACAUCUCCCAGAGCUGAAUAUCCAUGUUUAGAUUACCUGAGUGUUUUGUUUCAAGGAAAUUACAGUGUCUAGUAUAUUGUCAAGUUUAACUUGACAACAACUUAUUUUGUUCUGCUGUCCUGUGUGAGGAAAAAACCAUUUGCACCAUUUUACAUCAGAGAUAUAAUUGCAGCAGUUCACUAUUCAGCGUGGAUAUUUCUGCCAUAUGGAAGAAGGCCAUUAGAUUUCUGUAAACAUGCACAAUACCUGCGCACAGUUAAAAUAAGUAUAUAUGUUUGUUGCUUUUCAACAGUUAACAAUAAAUCA
This is a long non-coding RNA of Thunnus maccoyii (southern bluefin tuna), 1483 nucleotides long. RefSeq lists it as uncharacterized. NCBI's taxonomy places the organism in Eukaryota, Metazoa, Chordata, Actinopteri, Scombriformes, Scombridae. The transcript has 6 exons. The record is from RefSeq and is a predicted model, not a curated record.